UACAGAGGUCUCAAGCGUUGUUCGGAUUCAUUGGGCGUAAAGGGUGCGUAGGCGGCGCGGUAAGUCGGAUGUGAAAUCUCGGAGCUUAACUUCGAAACUGCAUUCGAUACUGCCGUGCUUGAGGACUGGAGAGGAGACUGGAAUUUACGGUGUAGCGGUGAAAUGCGUAGAUAUCGUAAGGAAGACCAGUGGCGAAGGCGAAUCUCUGGACAGUUACUGACACUGAGGCACGAAGGCCAGGGGAGCAAACGGG
RNAcentral lists this ribosomal RNA (253 nucleotides) under uncultured bacterium. RNAcentral describes it as "partial 16S ribosomal RNA". It matches the Rfam family "Bacterial small subunit ribosomal RNA", at positions 524 to 776 of the family's 1533-position model. The record is from RNAcentral.